Molecule: ribosomal RNA, 253 nt
Filed under: uncultured bacterium
Lineage: Bacteria
Description: partial 16S ribosomal RNA
Rfam family: Bacterial small subunit ribosomal RNA
Source: RNAcentral
UACGGAGGGGACUAGCGUUGUUCGGAAUUACUGGGCGUAAAGCGCACGUAGGCGGCCUUCUAAGUCGAACGUGAAAUCCCCGGGCUCAACCCGGGAACUGCGUCCGAUACUGGAAGGCUUGAAUCCGGGAGAGGGAUGCGGAAUUCCAGGUGUAGCGGUGAAAUGCGUAGAUAUCUGGAGGAACACCGGUGGCGAAGGCGGCAUCCUGGACCGGUAUUGACGCUGAGGCGCGAAAGCCAGGGGAGCAAACGGG